AAGUCGUAACAAGGUAACCGUAGGUGAACCUGCGGUUGGAUCAUUAGUGGUUUUUACGUAGCGCUGUUGUAGUGUUUCUGGGGGGUGUUGGUCUUUGGUUUUGGUUUUGGUGUCUUUUUGUUUGUCUGUUUUUGUGCGUGCCUUGUGCUGCCUUGUGCGGUGUCUUGUGCGGUGCCGUGGCAGUACAAACGGAUCGACGGCAACACUCGGACCAGACCCAAGAACCCUUGCAGACAAUAGACGUCUUUGCUUGCUUUGAUGAAACCAAAUCAAAAACAACUUUUGACAACGGAUCUCUUGGCUCUC
This 306-nucleotide unclassified non-coding RNA is filed under the name fungal sp. RNAcentral's name for it is "partial internal transcribed spacer region". The stretch from base 1 to 46 matches the Rfam family "Eukaryotic small subunit ribosomal RNA", at positions 1786 to 1831 of the family's 1831-position model. The record is from RNAcentral. Lineage: Eukaryota; Fungi.